AAAUGUCCGUUAGAUUUCAUUAGUUUACAAUUUAAUAACAUCUAAUACAAACAAAAUAAUUAGACAUUACUAUUCUUCUUUAUAUAAGCAGUUCCAAUUUCAUUCUCUACGGUACAUCUUCAGUUAGUGGUUAUAUUCCCAGAAAUUAUAAAUUUGAAAUCAACCAGUAAGCAAGUAAAUGCAAGGACUUGGUCCUUAUCAACCAAGAUUGAUGAAAAUAAAAAAUCAGAUUCAAAAAAAUCUCAUCCUACAGUUUUGGACCCACAUCCCCACGAAAAAAAAAA
Molecule: unclassified non-coding RNA, 284 nt
Filed under: Hevea brasiliensis (rubber tree)
Lineage: Eukaryota; Viridiplantae; Streptophyta; Magnoliopsida; Malpighiales; Euphorbiaceae
Source: RNAcentral